GCGAACUGCGAUAAGUAAUGUGAAUUGCAGAAUUCAGUGAAUCAUCGAGUCUUUGAACGCACAUUGCGCCCCCUGGCAUUCCGGGGGGCAUGCCUGUCCGAGCGUCAUUGCUGCCCAUCAAGCCCGGCUUGUGUGUUGGGUCGUCGUCCCCCCCGGGGGACGGGCCCGAAAGGCAGCGGCGGCACCGUGUCCGGUCCUCGAGCGUAUGGGGCUUUGUCACCCGCUCGACUAGGGCCGGCCGGGCGCCAGCCGACGUCUCCAACCAUUUUUCUUCAGGUUGACCUCGGAUCAGGUAGGGAUACCCGCUGAACUUAAGC
Molecule: unclassified non-coding RNA, 317 nt
Filed under: plant metagenome
Description: partial contains 5.8S ribosomal RNA, internal transcribed spacer 2, and large subunit ribosomal RNA
Rfam family: 5.8S ribosomal RNA (bases 1-107)
Source: RNAcentral